RNAcentral lists this unclassified non-coding RNA (341 nucleotides) under soil metagenome. RNAcentral describes it as "partial contains 5.8S ribosomal RNA, internal transcribed spacer 2, and large subunit ribosomal RNA". The stretch from base 1 to 120 matches the Rfam family "5.8S ribosomal RNA", at positions 35 to 154 of the family's 154-position model. The record is from RNAcentral.
GAUGAAGAACGUAGCGAAAUGCGAUAAGUAGUGUGAAUUGCAGAAUUCAGUGAAUCAUCGAAUCUUUGAACGCACAUUGCGCCCUUUGGUAUUCCAAAGGGCAUGCCUGUUCGAGCGUCAUUUGUACCCUCAAGCUUUGCUUGGUGUUGGGCGUCUUGUCUCUAGCUUUGCUGGAGACUCGCCUUAAAGUAAUUGGCAGCCGGCCUACUGGUUUCGGAGCGCAGCACAAGUCGCACUCUCUAUCAGCCAAGGUCUAGCAUCCAUUAAGCCUUUUUUUCAACUUUUGACCUCGGAUCAGGUAGGGAUACCCGCUGAACUUAAGCAUAUCAAUAAGCGGAGGA